Molecule: transfer RNA, 86 nt
Filed under: Rhizobium sp. KAs_5_22
Lineage: Bacteria; Pseudomonadati; Pseudomonadota; Alphaproteobacteria; Hyphomicrobiales; Rhizobiaceae
Description: tRNA-Leu
Rfam family: tRNA (bases 10-75)
About the family: Transfer RNA (tRNA) molecules are approximately 80 nucleotides in length.
Source: RNAcentral
AGCCUGGAGUGGCGGAAUGGCAAACGCAUCAGACUCAAAAUCUGACGAGGAGACUCGUGUCGGUUCGACCCCGACAGGGGCUGUCA